GAUGAACGCUGGCGGCGUGCCUAAUACAUGCAAGUCGAGCGGAAAGGCCCUUCGGGGUACUCGAGCGGCGGACGGCUGAGUAACGCGUAGGAACGUACCCCAAAGUGAGGGAUAACUGCUCGAAAGAGUAGCUAAUACCGCAUGUGCUCUUCGGAGUAAAGCUUCGGCGCUUUGGGAACGGCCUGCGUCCUAUUAGCUAGUUGGUGAGGUAAUUGCUCACCAAGGCGACGAUAGGUAGCUGGUCUGAGAGGAUGAUCAGCCAGACUGGGACUGAGACACGGCCCAGACUCCUACGGGAGGCAGCAGUAGGGAAUUUUCCACAAUGGGCGAAAGCCUGAUGGAGCAACGCCGCGUGCAGGAUGAAUGCCUUCGGGUUGUAAACUGCUUUUAUAGGUGAAGAAUAUGACGGUAACCUAUGAAUAAGGAUCGGCUAACUCCGUGCCAGCAGCCGCCGUAA
RNAcentral lists this ribosomal RNA (457 nucleotides) under uncultured bacterium. RNAcentral describes it as "partial 16S ribosomal RNA". It matches the Rfam family "Bacterial small subunit ribosomal RNA", at positions 28 to 523 of the family's 1533-position model. The record is from RNAcentral.